Molecule: long non-coding RNA, 285 nt
Organism: Cucumis melo (muskmelon)
Lineage: Eukaryota; Viridiplantae; Streptophyta; Magnoliopsida; Cucurbitales; Cucurbitaceae
Exons: 3
Source: RefSeq, a predicted model, not a curated record
AUCUAUUUCAAAGGUUGUUCAGACAGGAUUUGUUAGUUGCCAGUCUGUUCAGAAAUUUUUUGCUUGCUGAGUGGAUUAUGCGGUCUGCAAAUUGUUCUCCAAUUUCACAUCCAAUGUUACCUCCAACCCAUCAGCAUCACAUGUGGGAUGCAUGGGACAUGGCUGCCGAAAUUUGUCUUUCUCAACUUCCAGCAUUGGUUGAAGACCCCAACUUGGAGUUUCAGCCAAGUCCAUUUUUCACCGAGCAGCUGACAGCUUUUGAGGUAUGGCUUGAUCAUGGAUCCA